Molecule: ribosomal RNA, 439 nt
Filed under: uncultured bacterium
Lineage: Bacteria
Description: bacterial SSU rRNA
Rfam family: Bacterial small subunit ribosomal RNA
Source: RNAcentral
UACGGAAGGCAGCAGUGGGGAAUAUUGGACAAUGGGCGGAAGCCUGAUCCAGCCAUGCCGCGUGUGUGAAGAAGGCCUUUUGGUUGUAAAGCACUUUAAGCGAGGAGGAGGCUACUAGUACUAAUACUACUGGAUAGUGGACGUUACUCGCAGAAUAAGCACCGGCUAACUCUGUGCCAGCAGCCGCGGUAAUACAGAGGGUGCGAGCGUUAAUCGGAUUUACUGGGCGUAAAGCGUGCGUAGGCGGCUGAUUAAGUCGGAUGUGAAAUCCCUGAGCUUAACUUAGGAAUUGCAUUCGAUACUGGUCAGCUAGAGUAUGGGGAGAGGAUGGUAGAAUUCCAGGUGUAGCGGUGAAAUGCGUAGAGAUCUGGAGGAAUACCGAUGGGCGAAGGGCAGCCAUCUGGCCUAAUCUGACGCUGAGGUACGAAAGCAUGGGGAA